RNAcentral lists this ribosomal RNA (481 nucleotides) under uncultured bacterium. Its description in RNAcentral is "partial 16S ribosomal RNA". It matches the Rfam family "Bacterial small subunit ribosomal RNA", at positions 28 to 523 of the family's 1533-position model. The record is from RNAcentral.
GACGAACGCUGGCGGCGUGCUUAACACAUGCAAGUCGAGCGGAAAGGCCACUUCGGUGGUACUCGAGCGGCGAACGGGUGAGUAACACGUGAGUAAUCUGCCCCUGGCUUUGGGAUAGCCACCGGAAACGGUGAGUAAUACCGGAUACGACCACUUCUCGCAUGGGCUGGUGGUGGAAAGUUUCUUCGGCCAGGGAUGUGCUCGCGGCCUAUCAGCUUGAUGGUGAGGUAAUGGCUCACCAUGGCUUCGACGGGUAGCCGGCCUGAGAGGGUGACCGGUCACACUGGGACUGAGACACGGCCCAGACUCCUACGGGAGGCAGCAGUGGGGAAUAUUGGACAAUGGGCGGAAGCCUGAUCCAGCAACGCCGCGUGAGGGAUGACGGCCUUCGGGUUGUAAACCUCUUUCAGCAGGGACGAAGCGCAAGUGACGGUACCUGCAGAAGAAGCACCGGCCAACUACGUGCCAGCAGCCGCAGUAA